CCUACGGGUGGCAGCAGUGGGGAAUAUUGGACAAUGGGCGAAAGCCUGAUCCAGCCAUGCCGCGUGUGUGAAGAAGGCCUUCGGGUUGUAAAGCACUUUCAGUGGGGAAGAAAGCCUUGGGGCUAAUACCCUCGAGGAAGGACAUCACCCACAGAAGAAGCACCGGCUAACUCCGUGCCAGCAGCCGCGGUAAUACGGAGGGUGCGAGCGUUAAUCGGAAUUACUGGGCGUAAAGCGCGCGUAGGCGGUCUGAUAAGCCGGUUGUGAAAGCCCCGGGCUCAACCUGGGAACGGCAUCCGGAACUGUCAGGAUAGAGUGCAGGAGAGGAAGGGAGAAUUCCCGGGGUAGCGGUGAAAGGCGUAGAGAUCGGGAGGAAUACCAGUGGCGAAGGCGGCCUUCUGGACUGACACUGACGCUGAGGUGCGAAAGCGUGGGUAGCAAACAGGAUUAGAUACCCUGGUAGUC
RNAcentral lists this ribosomal RNA (465 nucleotides) under Vreelandella stevensii. RNAcentral describes it as "partial 16S ribosomal RNA". It matches the Rfam family "Bacterial small subunit ribosomal RNA", at positions 338 to 795 of the family's 1533-position model. The record is from RNAcentral. Lineage: Bacteria; Pseudomonadati; Pseudomonadota; Gammaproteobacteria; Oceanospirillales; Halomonadaceae.